AGAGUUUGAUCAUGGCUCAGGAUGAACGCUGGCGGCAUGCCUAAUACAUGCAAGUCGAACGGAAUCUUAUAUGUUCCUCGUUUCGGAUUUAGUUCCGAGUUGGGGAACAAUAAGAUUUAGUGGCUGACGGGUGAGUAACACGUUGGUACCUACCCUCUAGUGGGGAAUAACUUCGAGAAAUCGAGGCUAAUACCGCAUAAUAUCUACGGAUUAAAGCAUUUAUGCGCUAGAGGAGGGGCCUGCGUCUGAUUAGCUUGUUGGUGAGGUAAAAGCUCACCAAGGCGACGAUCAGUAGCUGGAUCGAGAGGUUGACCAGCCACACUGGGACUGAGAUACGGCCCAGACUCCUACGGGAGGCAGCAGUAAGGAAUCUUCCACAAUGGGCGAAAGCCUGAUGGAGCAAUGCCGCGUGCAGGAUGACGGCCUUCGGGUUGUAAACUGCUUUUAUAUGGGAAGAUUAUGACGGUACCAUAUGAAUAAGGACCGGCUAACUACGUG
This 498-nucleotide ribosomal RNA is filed under the name uncultured bacterium. RNAcentral's name for it is "bacterial SSU rRNA". It matches the Rfam family "Bacterial small subunit ribosomal RNA", at positions 8 to 507 of the family's 1533-position model. The record is from RNAcentral.